GUGAAUCAUCAAAUCUUUGAACGCAAAUUGCACUCUCUGGUAUUCCGGAGAGUAUGCCUGUUUGAGGGUCAGUUUAAAUAAAAAUCUGUGUGGUUGCUGCCUUUCGUGGUGACGCACCGGAUGUGGGUCGUCUUUCCUUCGGUUAAGCGACCUAAAAUUUUGCAUUUUUUUUUCUGAAGGAUUUAAAUGAUUUUACGUAUGCUUGCUAUAUCAAAUACUAU
This 221-nucleotide unclassified non-coding RNA is filed under the name Glomeraceae sp. RNAcentral's name for it is "partial contains 5.8S ribosomal RNA and internal transcribed spacer 2". The stretch from base 1 to 71 matches the Rfam family "5.8S ribosomal RNA", at positions 84 to 154 of the family's 154-position model. Lineage: Eukaryota; Fungi; Glomeromycota; Glomeromycetes; Glomerales; Glomeraceae. The record is from RNAcentral.